UAAACAGGUUAAGUAGCAGGUUGGGUU
RNAcentral lists this non-coding RNA (27 nucleotides) under Homo sapiens (human). Lineage: Eukaryota; Metazoa; Chordata; Mammalia; Primates; Hominidae. The record is from RNAcentral.